UCCGGUUUGACACCGGCAGUCUCCCUAGAGUGCCCGGCAUAACCCGCUGGUAACUAGGGACGAGGGUUGCGCUCGUUGCGGGACUUAACCCAACAUCUCACGACACGAGCUGACGACAGCCAUGCAGCACCUGUGCAGGAACUCCGAAGAGGGCGCCUGGUUUCUCAGGAGUUUCCCAUGCAUGUCAAGCCUAGGUAAGGUUCUUCGCGUUGCGUCGAAUUAAACCACAUGCUCCACCGCUUGUGCGGGCCCCCGUCAAUUCCUUUGAGUUUCAGCCUUGCGGCCGUACUCCCCAGGCGGGGUACUUAACAUAUUAACUCCGACAGUGACGGCAUCGGACCUCCACUGCCUAGUGCCCAUCGUUUACAGCUAGGACUAC
RNAcentral lists this unclassified non-coding RNA (379 nucleotides) under uncultured Gemmatimonadaceae bacterium. Its description in RNAcentral is "contains 16S-23S intergenic spacer region". Lineage: Bacteria; Pseudomonadati; Gemmatimonadota; Gemmatimonadia; Gemmatimonadales; Gemmatimonadaceae. The record is from RNAcentral.